RNAcentral lists this transfer RNA (72 nucleotides) under Bos taurus (domestic cattle). It matches the Rfam family "tRNA". Rfam says of the family: Transfer RNA (tRNA) molecules are approximately 80 nucleotides in length. Their secondary structure includes four short double-helical elements and three loops (D, anti-codon, and T loops). The record is from Rfam by way of RNAcentral. RNAcentral also lists the same sequence under 1 other name. Lineage: Eukaryota; Metazoa; Chordata; Mammalia; Artiodactyla; Bovidae.
UCCCUGGUGGCUCAGAUGGUAAAAACGUCUGUCUGCAAUACAGGAGACCUGGGUUUGAUCCCUGGUAGGGAA